This 253-nucleotide ribosomal RNA is filed under the name uncultured bacterium. RNAcentral's name for it is "partial 16S ribosomal RNA". It matches the Rfam family "Bacterial small subunit ribosomal RNA", at positions 524 to 776 of the family's 1533-position model. The record is from RNAcentral.
UACAGAGGGGGCAAGCGUUAUUCGGAAUUAUUGGGCGUAAAGGGCGCGUAGGCGGCUUUGCAAGUGACGGGUGAAAUCCCUCGGCUUAACCGAGGAACUGCCUGUCAAACUGCAUGGCUUGAGACCGGGAGAGGUGAGUGGAAUUCCCAGUGUAGCGGUGAAAUGCGCAGAUAUCAGGAGGAACACCGGUGGCGAAGGCGGGUCUCUGGGCCGAUACUGACGCUGAGGAGCGAAAGCGUGGGGAGCGAACAGG